CACCCAGCUGGUGAGAAGCAGGUGAUACCACUGGUGGAUGCAUGGCUGGAUGAAAACUCUAGAAACCAACAACCUCAGUGACUGAAGGAAGAUGAGUUGGACAAGAAAAAGUGAAAGAGGGGCAGCUAUGGUUCCCGCUGGAAGGAAACGGAAGACUUCAACACCGCCCACCAAGGCCGCGGGCCCUGCGCGCCCGGGGCAGGCGGGCACAUCCCGCACCCUCUCCGCCCGCCCGCCCCCGGCGCCCUUCGCAUUCCCUUCUUCGGCCCUGGCCCCUCGGACCGGAGCGCCCAGGCCAGCUCAGGGUGUUCCCGUGGGGGUCUCCGGAAACAAUGGGCAGUUGCCCUACUGAGUUAAUGUGAUAAGGAGAAAAAAAAAAGGGAUUGAUGGUUAAGAGAAUGGUUGAACACAGGACAUCUCAGGAUGGGGCAAUAUUUGGUGAGAACCAUAUUGGAUUCUACCAAAUUACAAAUAUAUUCCAGGUUGGCCUGAUCACUCACUCACCACUCCCUGCAACUCCAUGGAGAAGAUAUAAGCUGUCAAAAAUGUAUUUGUGAGUCUGAUGAGCUCUUUCACCCAGGUGACAGGGGUUUCUGCCAUAUUAAUAUUCUUCUUCUUCUCCACCUUUUGUGUUUCAAUGCUGGGCCUGGAGAAGGCAGGGACCUUGGCUCUUCCACGGUGGCUGUUCAUCAGCACUCACACAUCCACCACACCGGUUUAGUCGCACGCUGGAAGGUUUUGCUUGGAAUCUGCCAUCAGCAAUGCCGAGGCCUGGCCUUGGUGGAAAUGGAGGUGCUGCUUAACUUUUCUUCCAAAACAUAGUACAACCCUAGUCAUCCUGGCAUGCACCUGAGACAUUCUUAUUAGCAAGCUUGGAGCAGCAGUGGAGUGUUGAAAAAAUUUCUCUCAAACCUGGAGAGACGGGGUUUCACCGUGUUAGCCAGAACGGUCUUGAUCUCCUGACCUCAUGAUCUGCCCGCCUCGGUCUCCCAAAGUGCUGGGAUUACAGGUGUGACCGAGCAAGAGUUUGUCAAUUCAGAGGUAGACCCCAGAUGGUGGGAAUCAAAGGAGGGAAGUGAGGGGCACACGGGCCUCUGGGGGCUGAGGCAGGAGACAGCUCUCUGCCUUUCUCAGGUAGAGGACCUUUGGAGAUGUGAAUGAAAACAGCUGUCUGAACAAGUGGUACCCUAACUAGCGCGGCUGUGAGUCUGAAGCUUGAAAUGGGGAAGUUGGUCAGCAUGGGUGAGCUAUGCAGCCCAGGUGAAGGGAUCCUCAAGCAGCAGCCUCUGCCUUUUUGUCUUCUCCUUUUCACGGAGAUGACAAGAAUCACCCCAGGACUUAUCUUCUGAGGUGCUCAGCUGUGGUCCCAGUGCUGCUUUGGUCACUGCUAUGGCGGGUGGAAGCAGGAUGGGUGAAGUCAUUCUGGAGAACAAGGUAAAUUAUAGCCAAAUUAUAUAUUUGCAUAUGCCAUGACCCAGCAUCCCAAUAUAUGCCAGAGAAACUCUUGCACAGAUUCAUGUGGA
Molecule: long non-coding RNA, 1523 nt
Filed under: Homo sapiens (human)
Lineage: Eukaryota; Metazoa; Chordata; Mammalia; Primates; Hominidae
Description: HSALNT0137603
Source: RNAcentral